RNA transcript from Lytechinus pictus (painted urchin), 3221 nucleotides. It is a transcript of the gene named NADH-cytochrome b5 reductase-like, with no coding region annotated. The transcript has 10 exons. NCBI's taxonomy places the organism in Eukaryota, Metazoa, Echinodermata, Echinoidea, Temnopleuroida, Toxopneustidae. The record is from RefSeq and is a predicted model, not a curated record.
UCUUCAGUUAUAUGGAAAGCUAUCAGUAUUACUGACUGUGUCUAUCUGUGAGGAUAUUUUCCGUAAUUUUGUUUAAUACACUCUACUUCAAGGCCGGUCAUGUUUAGCAUUUUGAAAUGGACGAGCCGGAGCUAGAGAAAGUGAGCAGUCAGAAAAGGAAACGGGAGAGUGAAGAGGAACCAAAGCAGUAUACAACCAGCAAGCAAGUAGUAGAAGAAGGAAAGUCAUGGUGGACAUGUAUGAUGCUAGGGAUCUCACAAGAUAACACAAAGCCACAGGGAAGGAGAGUCGACAGAACAACACUCAAAGUAAAUGAUCAGUGAAUGAUAGCCAUACCAAUUGAACAUUGUACCAGUCCCAUCGAUCUGAUUUUAUCCUGAUUCCUUGAUUUGUGCAUGAAGCCAUUCAUCAUACAGUGUUGAUUCAUGGCUAAUGUACCUGAUGUUUGUGAGGAAUGUCAAUCAGUCCGCCCAGCCACGCCCCCUCCUGAUUCCUGCUGUGGUUCAGGAUGUGCCGUCUGUGUUUAUGAUAUUCAUGAUCAGGAGAUAGAUCUCUGGAAGAAGACUUGCAAACGUAAACAUGGUGCUGAUGAAAGUCAGUUAGAAAGCAUUGAAAGUGUCAUGGAUCUGAUGGACUAUAAAUAUUACACUCUGCAAUCUAUUGUUCCAGUUUGUACAAAUACAGCGGUCUACAGAUUCACAUUGCCACCUGGGAAAAAACUGGAUCUGUCUAUUGCAAAGCACAUCAUACUCAGGGGUAAACACAAUGGCAAGAUGAUAACCAGGCAGUACACACCCAUCUCACAUGAUACAGGAUUCUUUGAUGUUCUUAUAAAGUUGUAUGUGGAUGGGGAUAUGUCUCAGUGCAUUAAGCAGUGGAAGAUAGGUGAUAACAUAGAAUGGAGAGGACCUUUUGGGUCUUUUACAUACCAGCCAAACAAGGGCCACUAUAUUCUUGCUAUUGCCGCUGGUACCGGUAUCACACCGAUCAUCCAGGUGAUGAGACAUCUUGUUGAGAAUGAGGAGGAUGAGACAGUCUUCAGAUUACUCUACACCUGUCGUUCCUAUCAUGAAAUUCUACUCAGGGAAACCCUUAAUGAGCUAGCUCUGUACUGGAAUAUCACUAUCAUCUUUAAUCUUACACAGAGCUCUCCUGGCAGUCAUCCUAUUGGUUAUGGUGAGACUAUCCAAUAUGGCCGCUUUACACGGGAGAGACUAUCCAAAGAAGUAGCAGCAUCAAUGGGACGUCGUGUAAGGGCAUUGGAGUACUUCUCAGUCAUGGAAUGGGCUGACAAUUCCAUGAUGUAAUUUGAUUAUUGCUCAAAGGGAAAUUUUUAAAGAGAAAUUAAAACUUCACAGAAAGAGUGUGCAAGAUACAAAAAAAAAUCAUCAUUUGAAUUUGUACACAGAAUCAACGUUUACAAAAGUUUCAAUGACCACUAUACUUUUGUAUUAAUGAUUAGAAUCUGUUGGGUGAUAUUCAAGAUAAAUUCAUAAUAUUGACCCAUAACCAGAACUUAAGACAGGUUUUUAUCUUCUAUGGCUAGCAGUAAUAUUUUGAAUAAGUUGGCAUGAAGUGUGAAUUUGGCUUGAAUUUGUACGUCUUUGUGAAAGCAAUGAUCAUAUUACAAUAUCACAAACUAUUAAAAGUGCAUUCAACAAGGUCAUUUAUCACACUUUUUAUUGCACUCCAAAUCUGAUGAAUGAAAAUAACAGAUUUAUUGAUUUUUUAUAUAUAAAUUCUUUAUCCCAAGUAUUAUGAAACUCAGGGCUAUGGUAUAUAUGGUAAUGGUUUUGAUUGGGGGAGGGGAGGUGUCAAGUGUUCUAGAAAACACACAAGUGUUAGAAUAAAGCGACCCAACUUAAUAUAAAGAACAUGGUUUUAGUUUAAAUUGAAUUGAAGGAUCUGGUGCUUGGUUGUUAUUGCAAAUUGAUUUUUUUUUAGGGAGUUGUAAGCUCUUGCCGUAGGUCUACUUUGUAAUGCUAAGACCAAGGCUACUAGAUUUGUAUUUGUAUAAAAGUGAGGCAGCCAUAUGAUGGUGACCAUCAGUGAAAGAUUUCAAAUAGAAAUUGAAAACAAUGAUUAAUAUCGAGCAUAUGAAAUGAAAAUGUGUGUGUCUGGAAUGCACAGCAUAAGAUUAUACAUGUAGGGUAUAAAUUGCAUCUUGGUCUACACCAUCCCACUUGCUCCAAUCCUAUUUUUUAACAACCAGUUUGUCGACUAACCAUUUGAUUUAAUUGCCAUUUACCUUAAUACAAUUUGUCCAUUCAUCCAAUAGGGCUAUACAUUGGAUAUAAACUUGGGUCUAAAUAAUGAUUAGAUGAACUGAGCCGAAUUUCAUUUGGAAAAAAAUGCACAAUAACAUAUUUGAAUUGUAUCCCAUUACCCCCCCCCCCCUCCCGGCUUCAGAUCUAGACCUUGAAUGCUUGGUCUAAACGAUGCAUACUUUCAUAGAACUAUAAUAUGUAAUCAGUGUUGAUUUUUAUUGUAAUUUGUAUUAUUCAAUUAUGCGAAUCAGGUGCAAAAUACUAUUUUCUAUAUGAAUAGUUUCCUUGAAUUGCAUUCAAGGAAAUUACAUUGCAUUGUAUUGAUAUUGCAUAUUGUGUAGAUAUGUGGUGAAAAUGAUUCAAAUUGUUGUGGUACAUCAACCGUUUUAAUAUUGAUUUUAUUUUGUUGGUUAAGUGAAGAUUUGCUACUUUUUUAUAUCUGUUAUUAGCACAUAUCGUUAACCUUACGGACACUGGAUGAUUUUGCUAUAUAUAUUAUAUAGACUCCAGCUUGCAUCUGUGGGCUCAGUCUCCAUCGGGGUUAAUACAAUGACAGCACAUGUUGGAGUUCAACCUUUGAUCCAGAAAAUGUAUAAUUAAAGGUCAAAAUUUGAACAAACUCCAACAUGACUCUUCUCAGAGCUUUUUUCUGUCAUUUUUCUUUUGUAUUUUUUUAUUCUUGUACAUUUAAAUUUUAUUUAUUUUUCAUUCUUGAUCAUUUUUGUGUGCAAUCCAUUUAUACUUGCACAAUUUCAACUUUAAUUACCUCUCCUACAAAUACUGGAAGAAUGCUGUAGAAGCAAAAAUAGCUUCCAGGUCUAUCUUGUCAAUUAUAUUCACUGAAUUAGUGUCUUUUUCAAUGAGAAUUUUAACCUGUAUAUUAUUCCUUUGAUGAAAAAAGUGAAAAUCUACAAACAAUAUUUGCAAUAAAUAUAUCAAAAUAUUGACUUCUCA